CUAAAUUCUCUCCCGCGAAAAUGUUAUACCUUCUCAUACCUAGAAAUUAGAUUAAAGAAAAAAAUUCAUACGGCCAACAUCACUUUGCUCUCUAAAUUAAAUUUUCGGCCACCAUCACUUUGCUUUCUAAAUCUCCAUCGGCAACCAAAUUUAUGGCCACCAUCAAAAUUCUUGGUAGUUCUCUGCUAAUAUCUGCAUAGUGCAUAUGUUGGUUCCAAAAGCUGUGGAACAAGGAGCGGAGCGAGCUUAUUAGGUGCGGGUUCGACCAAAUCCAGUCACUCUUGCUUAGACAGCGUAUUUGUAUAAGUAGAAGGCUGUGGAAAUCUGCUGGUGUGUUUUCAACUGAGGAACUGGAGAACGACAUAGAUUUGUUGUGUUUACGCUUCAAGAGGUAAUCCUAAAAUCUCCAUACGUGCUAGUUGUUUAGAUUACACGUGAAUAAGAUUCUGUUAUUGCUUCUGCUGUGGUGUAUAAUCCUACAAUUGGUAUCAUAGCCUACUCACGUCUAAUUAAAUAAUUAGGAUAAACCAUAAGGAUUAAUAUCAUGUUCUAUAUGCAAGUUUUGAAUUACAUGCAAAGUUUAUUUUUCUGAAAACCUGCACUGUUUUUUGGUGUGAUUAUCUGUUAUGGAUUGUGUUGAUUAUUGUGAAAACUUGAUGUAUCCUUUUAAUAUUGAUGAUGUUGAGUUAGAAUAAUCUGAAAGUUGAAUUUUAUCAUGUAAAACGGAAAAACAAGUUUUGCCGAAUUAGGGUAGAAAAUCGGAGGUCAAAAAAGUAACGGACUCCGAUUGACCUGAAACUUGGCAGGUCCAUGCGAAACGGCCCAGUGAGCAAUACUCAUGGAUCUUGACUGAAGUUGUUUUUUUGGGCUUUCGGGGUCGUUUAGAUGGUGUUUUUGCUGUUUUUCUAAACUUCUGAAAUUUUUUUUAGUUGUUUUUAAUUCCAGUA
This is a non-coding RNA of Nicotiana tabacum (common tobacco), 947 nucleotides long. The record is from RefSeq and is a predicted model, not a curated record. Lineage: Eukaryota; Viridiplantae; Streptophyta; Magnoliopsida; Solanales; Solanaceae.